UACGUUCCCGGUCCUUGUACACACCGCCCGUCACACCACGAAAGUCGGCAACACCCGAAGCCGGUGGCCUAACCCUUGUGGAAGGAGCCGUCGAAGGUGGGGUCGGUGAUUGGGGUG
This 117-nucleotide ribosomal RNA is filed under the name uncultured bacterium. RNAcentral's name for it is "partial 16S ribosomal RNA". It matches the Rfam family "Bacterial small subunit ribosomal RNA", at positions 1367 to 1482 of the family's 1533-position model. The record is from RNAcentral.